UACAGAGGUCCCAAGCGUUGUUCGGAAUUAUUGGGCGUAAAGGGAGCGUAGGCGGUUCGAUAAGUCACUUGUGAAAUCUCUGGGCUCAACCCAGAGUCUGCAAGCGAAACUGUCGGGCUUGAGUAUGGGAGAGGUGAGUGGAAUUCCUGGUGUAGCGGUGAAAUGCGUAGAUAUCAGGAGGAACACCUGUGGCGAAAGCGGCUCACUGGACCAUUACUGACGCUGAGGCUCGAAAGCUAGGGGAGCAAACAGG
This 253-nucleotide ribosomal RNA is filed under the name uncultured bacterium. Its description in RNAcentral is "partial 16S ribosomal RNA". It matches the Rfam family "Bacterial small subunit ribosomal RNA", at positions 524 to 776 of the family's 1533-position model. The record is from RNAcentral.